Molecule: long non-coding RNA, 331 nt
Filed under: Panax ginseng (ginseng)
Lineage: Eukaryota; Viridiplantae; Streptophyta; Magnoliopsida; Apiales; Araliaceae
Description: long non-coding RNA (PGIN_LNC007240)
Source: RNAcentral
UUUCAUCUACUAAGGUCUGUUAUUUAAAAAAUUGAAAUUGUUUCCCAAAUCCAGGCUAAACUUUUAGUUGUCAUUCAUGUUUAUAGUUUUGAACUUGCUAGUUUUCUUCAAUUAAUCAUAAUUAUGUAAUUUCCUAUUAUAGGUUAGUACUAUUAGUUUGAUACUUCUUUGAAAGUUGUAGGUGUAAAUAUAAGAUCUGCCAACUGCAUGACUUGUUAAACGAGUAACUCUGGUAUUUGACAUUUUUCAUUGCCCAUCUAGAAUCUGAUUUUGCAUUUAAUUUUGAAACAAGAUUAUCUUCUUCUUUUUUUAACCUUACUGUUACUCAAAA